AACGAACGCUGGCGGCAUGCCUAACACAUGCAAGUCGAACGAGACCUUCGGGUCUAGUGGCGCACGGGUGCGUAACGCGUGGGAACCUGCCCUUAGGUUCGGAAUAACUCCCCGAAAGGGGUGCUAAUACCGGAUAAUGUCUUCGGACCAAAGAUUUAUCGCCUUUGGAUGGGCCCGCGUUGGAUUAGCUAGUUGGUAGGGUAAAAGCCUACCAAGGCGACGAUCCAUAGCUGGUCUGAGAGGAUGAUCAGCCACACUGGGACUGAGACACGGCCCAGACUCCUACGGGAGGCAGCAGUGGGGAAUAUUGGACGAUGGGCGAAAGCCUGAUCCAGCAAUGCCGCGUGAGUGAUGAAGGCCGUAGGGUUGUAAAGCUCUUUUACCCGGGAUGAUAAUGACAGUACCGGGAGAAUAAGCUCCGGCUAACUACGUG
This 433-nucleotide ribosomal RNA is filed under the name uncultured bacterium. RNAcentral describes it as "partial 16S ribosomal RNA". It matches the Rfam family "Bacterial small subunit ribosomal RNA", at positions 29 to 507 of the family's 1533-position model. The record is from RNAcentral.